Molecule: long non-coding RNA, 303 nt
Organism: Urocitellus parryii (Arctic ground squirrel)
Lineage: Eukaryota; Metazoa; Chordata; Mammalia; Rodentia; Sciuridae
Source: RefSeq, a predicted model, not a curated record
CCGCUUGAGCCACAUCCCCAGCCCAAAUGAAAGCAUUUAUAUGGCAGACUUUCUACAAGACUUUAAGAGAUUCUGUCUUAUGCUGAUCCUGUCAGAAGGCUCUGCAAUCAACCAGAAGUCAGAUUCUGUGCCUUAACAAAAAAGUACUCAGAGAUUCAGAAAAAAAAGACUACAGCAGGUAUUUAAAACCACUGAGAUGUCAAAGAAUAGACUCUUGGGCACAAGCUUCCAGUGGCAUCACUUGGACAAUUGGACAAUUUCCAGACUGCCAGCUGAUGAUUGGCUCACAGCGGCCCCAGCAAC